AGCAGCCGCGGUAAUUCCAGCUCCAAUAGCGUAUAUUAAAGUUGUUGCAGUUAAAAAGCUCGUAGUUGAAUUUCGGGGUCAGUAGGUCGGUCGUGCCACUGGUAUGAACUGGUCUCACUGGUUCCUCCUUCUUGUAGAACCGUAAUGCCAUUAAUUUGGUGUUGCGGGGAAACAGGACUGUUACUUUGAAAAAAUUAGAGUGUUUAAAGCAGGCUAACGCUUGAAUACAUUAGCAUGGAAUAAUGAAAUAGGACGAGCGAUCCUAUUUUGUUGGUUUCUAGGAUUGACGUAAUGAUUAAUAGGGAUAGUUGGGGGCAUUAGUAUUCAAUUGUCAGAGGUGAAAUUCUUGGAUUUAUUGAAGACUAACUACUGCGAAAGCAUUUGCCAAGGAUGUUUUCAUUAAUCAAGAACGAAAGUUAGGGGAUCGAAGACGAUCAGAUACCGUCGUAG
Molecule: ribosomal RNA, 450 nt
Filed under: uncultured Glomeromycotina
Lineage: Eukaryota; Fungi; Glomeromycota
Description: SSU rRNA
Rfam family: Eukaryotic small subunit ribosomal RNA
Source: RNAcentral